RNAcentral lists this transfer RNA (72 nucleotides) under Acidobacteriota bacterium. RNAcentral describes it as "Acidobacteria bacterium (marine metagenome) tRNA-Lys". It matches the Rfam family "tRNA". From Rfam's summary of the family: Transfer RNA (tRNA) molecules are approximately 80 nucleotides in length. Their secondary structure includes four short double-helical elements and three loops (D, anti-codon, and T loops). The record is from RNAcentral. Lineage: Bacteria; Pseudomonadati; Acidobacteriota.
GGGCCGCUAGCUCAGUGGUAGAGCACCUGGCUUUUAACCAGGGUGUCGAUGGUUCGAUCCCAUCGCGGCCCA